GAUGAACGCUGGCGGCGUGCCUAAUACAUGCAAGUCGAGCGAACGGACGAGAAGCUUGCUUCUCUGAUGUUAGCGGCGGACGGGUGAGUAACACGUGGAUAACCUACCUAUAAGACUGGGAUAACUUCGGGAAACCGGAGCUAAUACCGGAUAAUAUUUUGAACCGCAUGGUUCAAAAGUGAAAGACGUUCUUGCUGUCACUUAUAGAUGGAUCCGCGCUGCAUUAGCUAGUUGGUAAGGUAACGGCUUACCAAGGCAACGAUGAAUAGCCGACCUGAGAGGGUGAUCGGCCACACUGGAACUGAGACACGGUCCAGACUCCUACGGGAGGCAGCAGUAGGGAAUCUUGCGCAAUGGGCGAAAGCCUGACGGAGCAACGCCGCGUGAGUGAUGAAGGUCUUCGGAUCGUAAAACUCUGUUAUUAGGGAAGAACAUAUGUGUAAGUAACUGUGCACAUCUUGACGGUACCUAAUCAGAAAGCCACGGCUAACUACGUG
RNAcentral lists this ribosomal RNA (497 nucleotides) under uncultured bacterium. RNAcentral describes it as "partial 16S ribosomal RNA". It matches the Rfam family "Bacterial small subunit ribosomal RNA", at positions 28 to 507 of the family's 1533-position model. The record is from RNAcentral.